Molecule: ribosomal RNA, 477 nt
Filed under: uncultured eukaryote
Lineage: Eukaryota
Description: partial 18S ribosomal RNA
Source: RNAcentral
CAACGGCGUACACUAAUAUUGUUGCUGUUAAAACGCUCGUAGUCCAAUGCCGAGCGCAGGGCUGUGGGGUGGGGCCCUGCCAUCUGGCCUGGCCCUCUCCUUUCUGGACCCCCACAGAUUGACCCUGUGUUCACCUGACGUGGAAACAAUACCAUUGCCGACCAGGCAAUGUCCCCUUGCCGAUGUGUCCUUCACUGGUCACCGACGCGGCGUCGCCCGUAGAGCAGGCCCAGGAUGAAACAGCAGCAUCCACCUCCAGGGGUGUCCACGGCUCCUACCGUGAACAACUCAGAGUGUCUAAAGCGACCGAAAGCCCUUGGGUAUCUCGGCUGAAUGAUCUUGCAUGGAAUAGGAAGGGAUCGACUGGAUGGACUCCCUGUCUGCCGUGUCUUUAUGUCCAUCGCGGGCAAUGCAGCGUGUGUCCGCAGCCAUUUGCCGGGGAGUGCUUGCACCCCCGAUGGCUACGGUGUGUGCUGA